RNAcentral lists this transfer RNA (91 nucleotides) under Streptomyces narbonensis. RNAcentral's name for it is "tRNA-Asp(gtc)". The record is from RNAcentral. Lineage: Bacteria; Bacillati; Actinomycetota; Actinomycetes; Kitasatosporales; Streptomycetaceae.
CCCGAGGGUGGCCGGGCAGGCCACGGGCGGUGCCUGUCGUGCGCCGCUCCGGUGCCGCCGGUCCCGGCCGGGCGGCUCCGGCCCGUCGGGG